Molecule: transfer RNA, 67 nt
Filed under: Xya japonica
Lineage: Eukaryota; Metazoa; Arthropoda; Insecta; Orthoptera; Tridactylidae
Also listed under: 1 other name
Description: tRNA-Met
Source: RNAcentral
AAAAAGGUAAGCUAAGCUUAAGCUAUUGGGCUCAUACCCCAAGUAUAAAGAUUUUCUUUUCUUUUUU